RNAcentral lists this ribosomal RNA (282 nucleotides) under Eubacterium ventriosum. Its description in RNAcentral is "partial 16S ribosomal RNA". It matches the Rfam family "Bacterial small subunit ribosomal RNA", at positions 495 to 776 of the family's 1533-position model. The record is from RNAcentral. Lineage: Bacteria; Bacillati; Bacillota; Clostridia; Eubacteriales; Eubacteriaceae.
UAUGUCUUGUGUGCCAGCAGCCGCGGUCAUACGUAUGGGGCAAGCGUUAUCCGGAUUUCCUGGGUGUAAAGGGAGCGUAGGCGGCAUGGCAAGUCAGAAGUGAAAGCCUGGGGCUCAACCCCGGAAUUGCUUUUGAAACUGUCAGGCUAGAGUGUCGGAGGGGUAAGCGGAAUUCCUAGUGUAGCGGUGAAAUGCGUAGAUAUUAGGAGGAACACCGGUGGCGAAGGCGGCUUACUGGACGAUUACUGACGCUGAGGCUCGAAAGCGUGGGGAGCAAACAGG